ACACACACACACAUGAUACACACACACAUGAUACACACACACACAGACAUGAUCCAUUAGACACACACCUGCCAGUUGUGGAAACAGUUGGUUCCGAGGCUGCUUAUCUCAGAGACAGCGUUGGGAGAUAGAACAGAACAGUCUGGACGCAGCACCACCACCCUCGGUACAUCCUCCACCUCAAACAUAGACUCCAGCUCUCUGAUACACACACACACACACACACACACACACAGACACACACAUUAUAUACACACCCACACACAGUGUAAGAUAUACACACACACACACACACACACACACACACAGACACACACGUUAUAUACACACCCACACACAGUGUAAGAUAUACACACACACACACACACACACACACACACACACAGACACAUUAUAUACACACCCACACACAGUGUAAGAUAUACACACACACACACACACACACACACAGACACGUUAUAUACACACACACACACACACACACACACACACACACACACACACACACACACACACACACACACACACAGACACAUUAUAUACACACACACACACACAGUGUAAGAUAUACACACACACACACACACACACACACACACAGACACAUUAUAUACACACCCACACACAGUGUAAGAUAUACACACACACACACGCACACACACACACACACACACACACACACACACACACACACACACACACACACACACACAGACACAUUAUAUACACACCCACACACAGUGUAAGAUAUAUACACACACACACAGACACAUUAUAUACACACCCACACACAGUGUAAGAUAUACACACACACACACACACACACACACACACACACACACACACAGACACGUUAUACACACACACACACACACACAGUGUAAGAUAUACACACACACACAGACACGUUAUACACACACACACACACAGUGUAAGAUAUACACACACAGACACGGACGGACAGACACAUUACAUAUACACAAUCACUCUAUACACACACACAGUGUAAGAUACACACACACUCUAUAGACACUCCUCCCCAUCCUACCCAACCCCAUCCUUUCCACCCAAUCCCAUCCACCCAUACCUGCGAUAGGGGUCAUCAAGGGUUAGGAACAGGCAUUUCUCCUCCCCACCCAAUCCCAUCCACCCAUACCUACGAUAGAGGUCAUCGAGGGUUAGGAACAGGCAUUUCUCCUCCCCACCCAAUCCCAUCCA
Oncorhynchus tshawytscha (Chinook salmon) is the source of this 1218-nucleotide long non-coding RNA. The record is from Ensembl. Lineage: Eukaryota; Metazoa; Chordata; Actinopteri; Salmoniformes; Salmonidae.